RNAcentral lists this ribosomal RNA (303 nucleotides) under uncultured bacterium. RNAcentral's name for it is "SSU rRNA". It matches the Rfam family "Bacterial small subunit ribosomal RNA", at positions 1094 to 1397 of the family's 1533-position model. The record is from RNAcentral.
GAGCGCACCCCUAUCCUUAUUUGCCAGCGCGUUAUGGCGGGAACUCUAAGGAGACUGCCGGUGAUAAACCGGAGGAAGGUGGGGACGACGUCAAGUCAUCAUGGCCCUUACGGGAUGGGCUACACACGUGCUACAAUGGCAGGUACAGAGGGCAGCAAUACCGCGAGGUUGAGCGAAUCCCACAAAGCUUGUCGUAGUCCGGAUCGGAGUCUGCAACUCGACUCCGUGAAGUCGGAAUCGCUAGUAAUCGUAGAUCAGAAUGCUACGGUGAAUACGUUCCCGGGCCUUGCACACACCGCCCGU